Molecule: microRNA precursor, 93 nt
Filed under: Mustela putorius furo (domestic ferret)
Lineage: Eukaryota; Metazoa; Chordata; Mammalia; Carnivora; Mustelidae
Description: miRNA (ENSMPUG00000022544.1)
Source: RNAcentral
GGUGCCCACUUGAAAACACACAUUCUCACUCCCCUUCCUGAGAUUCUGACUGAUUCAAGUCUAGUGUGGAGUCCAGGAAUUUGCAUUAUUAAC